This 222-nucleotide ribosomal RNA is filed under the name uncultured bacterium. Its description in RNAcentral is "partial 16S ribosomal RNA". It matches the Rfam family "Bacterial small subunit ribosomal RNA", at positions 109 to 334 of the family's 1533-position model. The record is from RNAcentral.
AGUAAUGUAUGGGAAUCUGCCCGAUAGAGGGGGGUAACUACUGGAAACGGUGGCUAAUACCGCAUAAUGUCUACGGACCAAAGCAGGGGCUCUUCGGACCUUGCACUAUCGGAUGAACCCAUAUGGGAUUAGCUAGUAGGUGGGGUAAAGGCUCACCUAGGCGACGAUCUCUAGCUGGUCUGAGAGGAUGAUCAGCCACACUGGGACUGAGACACGGCCCAG